Pelobates cultripes (western spadefoot toad) is the source of this 266-nucleotide non-coding RNA. Lineage: Eukaryota; Metazoa; Chordata; Amphibia; Anura; Pelobatidae. The record is from the annotation of a GenBank genome assembly.
AAGAACGCAGGCUGUUUUUAUUAAUGCAUAUUAAAACAAAAGUUAGAGGCAGUUUUCGAAGCUUGGGAGACAAUAUUACAUGGAAGCAUGUAGCAUAAUAUUUAGAUUGGUUAAGUAAGCUUGACAAAUUUAUUUUCCCAUUUUAGCAAAAUGUGCACUUGCAUUUGGUGUUACUGAUUACAGGACUGUACACAUUAGAAAGUAGUCUGAAUAGAUUAACUGAAAGAUGAAAUCCAGAGUGUUACAGGGUUUUUUUUGGUUGGUUU